GGCAUCCACCACAGGAGUCCCGAGGCAGGGGCUGAGAGGGAGCUGAAGCCGCUCCGACUGUUGAACCUGAUCCGGGUCAUGCCGGCGAAGGAAGCGAGGAGCUGUCCCUGU
RNAcentral lists this non-coding RNA (111 nucleotides) under Nocardioides sp. Its description in RNAcentral is "TPP sequence". It matches the Rfam family "TPP riboswitch aptamer (THI element)". From Rfam's summary of the family: Vitamin B(1) in its active form thiamin pyrophosphate (TPP) is an essential coenzyme that is synthesised by coupling of pyrimidine and thiazole moieties in bacteria. The previously detected thiamin-regulatory element, thi box was extended, resulting in a new, highly conserved RNA secondary structure, the THI element, which is widely distributed in eubacteria and also occurs in some archaea. Lineage: Bacteria; Bacillati; Actinomycetota; Actinomycetes; Propionibacteriales; Nocardioidaceae. The record is from RNAcentral.